This 446-nucleotide ribosomal RNA is filed under the name uncultured bacterium. Its description in RNAcentral is "bacterial SSU rRNA". It matches the Rfam family "Bacterial small subunit ribosomal RNA", at positions 66 to 543 of the family's 1533-position model. The record is from RNAcentral.
ACGCGAAAGGGACCUUCGGGUUCCGAGUAGAGUGGCGCACGGGUGAGUAACACGUAGGUAAUCUGCCUCUGAGUGGGGAAUAACUUGGGGAAACCCAAGCUAAUACCGCAUAACAUCGAAAGAUCAAAGCUUUAUGUGCUUGGAGAGGAGCCUGCGGCGGAUUAGGUAGUUGGUAAGGUAAUGGCUUACCAAGCCUGCGAUCCGUAUCCGGUCUUAGAGGACGGUCGGACACACUGACACUGAAUAACGGGUCAGACUCCUACGGGAGGCAGCAGUGGGGAAUAUUGGACAAUGGGCGCAAGCCUGAUCCAGCCAUGCCGCGUGAGUGAUGAAGGCCUUAGGGUUGUAAAGCUCUUUCGGCGGGGACGAUAAUGACGGUACCCGCAGAAGAAGCCCCGGCUAACUUCGUGCCAGCAGCCGCGGUAAUACGAAGGGGGCUAGCGCUG